Melitaea cinxia (Glanville fritillary) is the source of this 1382-nucleotide long non-coding RNA. RefSeq lists it as uncharacterized. NCBI's taxonomy places the organism in Eukaryota, Metazoa, Arthropoda, Insecta, Lepidoptera, Nymphalidae. The record is from RefSeq and is a predicted model, not a curated record. The transcript is spliced from 2 exons.
UGUAUUUAACGCAGCUCUGAGUAAUGAAGCGAGGAAUAUCGUUACGAGUAAAACUAUUUGGUACUGUUUCGGAAUUGGGACGCCCUACAAGUUCAUUUAUCGAAUACUAACGUGGAUCUUGCAUUACAUGCCUGCUGUCAUGGUCGAUGGAAUCUGCAGGUUAUUUGGACAGAAACCAAGAUUAAUCCAAGUGUACAAAAAGGUGUCCUCACUGUCAUCGGUUCUCCAGUACUUCCUUAAUAAUGACUGGGUAUUUCAAGACACUAACACCCUCAGCAUGUCCAACAGCUUGUCACAGACGGACAAAUUGAUUUACAAUUGUGACUUAGCGUCUGUAAAUGCACGUGAACUAUAUUAUAUAUGGGCCUAUGGCAUAGGAAGAUUCAUCGUCAAAGAUGACACCAAACUAAGAAAGUACGCUCAAAGCAAGCAGACUGUUUUAAAAUAUAUACAUUAUCUAGUCUUUCCUGUUUAUUUAUAUACAUUGCUUAAAAUAGCAUUACUGGUUGUAAAGAUUAUAUCACAUGUUACAAAAAGAAAAGAUAUAUAUUUUAAAAUCAUUAAAAGUUGUACAUUGUGUUAGUAAAAUGAGAUACGUAUAUAAAUUAUAUGCGUAUCUUAUUUUAUAAGAUAUAAAUAUUCAAGAUUUUUAAUUGGAUAUAGUUAUUUGUUAAAUAAAUUGUUUUUUUUGUGUGUAUUUUUUCAAUAUGUUUGAAUAACAAAUCAUAACUUUUUUUUUAAACAACUAGACAUUAUAGACAAAGACAUCAACAUAGACAUCAUGUGAACAGUGUAACUUGUAAAGCUGCUAGGAUGUUGGGUUUUGUCAAGAGAAAUGCUGGAGAUUGCCUGGUUCGUAGUCACCUCGAGUAUGGUAGUGUUGUGUGGAGCCCGUCGUGUGUUGUGCAUUCGCAGAGGCUAGAGGGUAUCCAGAGAGCUUUCACUAGAUACCUGGCUUUCACGUCUCCAGGAAUUUCACAUAGAAGUUCCUAUGAUCAGCACUUAGAUCACUUUGGCUUAAUUACGUUAAGAGACAGACGCAAACUGCUCGACCUUCUGUUCCUGUAUAAGGUAAUCAAUGGUUCCAUGGACUCUGCUGGUAUUCUGUCUCGGGUGAAUCUAUGUGUCCCUUAUAAUAUUCCUCGCAAGCCUCUCUCUCACAUUUUUGAAUGUUCUCGUAAUAGGACCAAUCUAGGACGCCAUUCUCCCGUUAACAGAAUUUGCGUGGAAUAUGGCGAGCUGUGCAGCCGGGCGCCAGAUGUGGACAUUUUUAGCGAUUUUUGCGUAAAUUUAAAUUUCAAAUACUGAAAUCAAUAGCGGGCUGUAAUUAGAUAUAUUUUUCCCUCUUUUUUCCUCUUUGUCCUAAUAAACCCAUUUUAUAA